GUGAAAUUGUUGAAAGGGAAACGUUUGACACCAGUCAUGCGGGUGGGAAAUCAGUCAAUUGCAGUGGGGAGUGGUGAAGGUUCGGACCGCAAGGCCGGCCUGUGCCUCAUCUCCGCUGUAAGUGAUGCACUUUUCCAUCGGCAGGUCAACAUCAGUUUCUUCUGCUGGACAAAACUCCGAGAGAAGGUAGCAGCUUAGGCUGUGUUAUAGCUCUGGAGCGAUACAGUGGUGGGGACUGAGGGUUUCGCAGUGUGUGCUUUCGGGCAAGGCUGACCGGGUGCUAUGGGAUCGUUCAGUGUACAAUGCAUGCAUUUUGCGCUGUGUCUUUUCUAUACUCGCCUGGCUCGGCUCUUCCACACUUAGGAUGUUGACUUAAUGGUUUUAAACGACCCGUCUUGAAACACGGACCAAGGAGUCUAACAUAUAUGCAAGUGUUUGGGUGGCAAACCCAUACGCGUAAUGAAAGUGAACGUAGGUGCGAUCCGCAAGGUGCAGCAUCGACCGAUCUUGAUAUUUUUGGAUAGAUUUGAGUAAGAGCAUAUAUGCUGGACCCGAAAGAUGGUGAACUAUGCCUGAAUAGGGUGAAGCCAGAGGAAACUCUGGUGGAGGCUCGUAGCGAUUCUGACGUGCAAAUCGAUCGUCAAAUUUGGGUAUAGGGGCGAAAGA
Molecule: ribosomal RNA, 666 nt
Filed under: uncultured fungus
Lineage: Eukaryota; Fungi
Description: LSU rRNA
Rfam family: Eukaryotic large subunit ribosomal RNA
Source: RNAcentral